This 81-nucleotide long non-coding RNA is filed under the name Chinchilla lanigera (long-tailed chinchilla). Its description in RNAcentral is "Deleted in lymphocytic leukemia 2 conserved region 5 (ENSCLAG00000020062.1)". It matches the Rfam family "Deleted in lymphocytic leukemia 2 conserved region 5". The record is from RNAcentral. Lineage: Eukaryota; Metazoa; Chordata; Mammalia; Rodentia; Chinchillidae.
AUCACGGCCUAAAACAUGUGAGUAUUCACUCGAGGAAGUUAGGCUGCUUUCAAGAAUUGGCGGUCUCCUAAAAGUCAAAAC